AUCUAGUUGACGAAUCAAAAAUAGGACGAAACGCACGUCAAACUAGAU
Molecule: non-coding RNA, 48 nt
Filed under: Schistosoma curassoni
Lineage: Eukaryota; Metazoa; Platyhelminthes; Trematoda; Strigeidida; Schistosomatidae
Source: RNAcentral